GAUGAACGCUGGCGGCGUGCCUAAUACAUGCAAGUCGAGCGAACGGACGAGAAGCUUGCUUCUCUGAUGUUAGCGGCGGACGGGUGAGUAACACGUGGAUAACCUACCUAUAAGACUGGGAUAACUUCGGGAAACCGUAGCUAAUACCGGAUAAUAUUUUGAACCGCAUGGUUCAAAAGUGAAAUACGGUCUUGCUGUCACUUAUAGAUGGAUCCGCGCUGCAUUAGCUAGUUGGUAAGGUAACGGCUUAUCAAGGCAACGAUGCAUAGCCGACCUGUGAGGGUGAUCGGCCACACUGGAACGGAGACACGGUCCAGACUCCUACGGGAGGCAGCAGUAGGGAACCUUCCGCAAUGGGCGAAAGCCUGACGGAGCAACGCCGCGUGAGUGAUGAAGGUCUUCGGAUCGUAAAACUCUGUUAUUAGGGAAGAACAUAUGUGUAAGUAGCUGUGCACAUCUUGACGGUACCUAAUCAGAAAGCCACGGCUAACUACGUG
RNAcentral lists this ribosomal RNA (497 nucleotides) under uncultured bacterium. RNAcentral describes it as "partial 16S ribosomal RNA". It matches the Rfam family "Bacterial small subunit ribosomal RNA", at positions 28 to 507 of the family's 1533-position model. The record is from RNAcentral.